Molecule: ribosomal RNA, 475 nt
Filed under: uncultured organism
Description: partial 16S ribosomal RNA
Rfam family: Bacterial small subunit ribosomal RNA
Source: RNAcentral
CACUCCUACGGGAGGCAGCAGUGGGGAAUUUUGGACAAUGGGCGAAAGCCUGAUCCAGCAAUGCCGCGUGAGUGAAGAAGGCCUUCGGGUUGUAAAGCUCUUUUGUCAGGGAAGAAACGGUGAAAGCUAAUAUCUUUUGCUAAUGACGGUACCUGAAGAAUAAGCACCGGCUAACUACGUGCCAGCAGCCGCGGUAAUACGUAGGGUGCAAGCGUUAAUCGGAAUUACUGGGCGUAAAGCGUGCGCAGGCGGUUUUGUAAGUCUGAUGUGAAAUCCCCGGGCUCAACCUGGGAAUUGCAUUGGAGACUGCAAGGCUAGAAUCUGGCAGAGGGGGGUAGAAUUCCACGUGUAGCAGUGAAAUGCGUAGAUAUGUGGAGGAACACCGAUGGCGAAGGCAGCCCCCUGGGUCAAGAUUGACGCUCAUGCACGAAAGCGUGGGGAGCAAACAGGAUUAGAUACCCGAGUAGUCCCAUGA